This 460-nucleotide ribosomal RNA is filed under the name uncultured bacterium. RNAcentral's name for it is "partial 16S ribosomal RNA". It matches the Rfam family "Bacterial small subunit ribosomal RNA", at positions 338 to 795 of the family's 1533-position model. The record is from RNAcentral.
CCUACGGGUGGCAGCAGUGAGGAAUAUUGGUCAAUGGGCGAGAGCCUGAACCAGCCAAGUCGCGUGAGGGAAGACUGCCCUAUGGGUUGUAAACUUCUUUUGUCAGGGAGCAACGCCGGCUACGUGUAGCCGGACUGAGAGUAGCUGAAGAAAAAGCAUCGGCAAACUCCGUGCCAGCAGCCGCGGCAAUACGGGGGAUGCGAGGGUUAUCCGGUUUUAUGGGGUUAAAAGGGUGCGUAGGCGGAAUGCCAAGUCAGCGGUAAAAUCGCGGGGCUAAACCUAGCGCCGCCGUUGAAACUGGCGUUCUUGAGUGGGCGAGAGGUAUGCGGAAUGCGUGGUGUAGCGGUGAAAUGCAUAGAUAUCACGAAGAACUCCGAUUGCGAAGGCAGCAUACCGGCGCCCAACUGACGCUGAAGCACGAAAGCGUGGGUAUCGAACAGGAUUAGAUACCCUGGUAGUC